Molecule: long non-coding RNA, 933 nt
Filed under: Salmo salar (Atlantic salmon)
Lineage: Eukaryota; Metazoa; Chordata; Actinopteri; Salmoniformes; Salmonidae
Description: lncRNA (ENSSSAG00000110376.1)
Source: RNAcentral
UGAAAAAUGUCCGAUGCAGCCCUUACACCUAACACCAUGUGAGGAUUGUCAUCGUACAUGUCGAUCCUUCUACUGCUAUGAAAAACACAACAUUUAAACAUGGCACCCCAAGGCAUGUAAAUCUGUAAGCAGUUGUGACAUUAACAAGAAAUGUCCAAAAUGCCAUUGUAAUUACAACCUUAAAAUAGACAACCCCCAACCUCACAUAUGUCGGAUGAUAAUCUGCACGAUCUGUAAAGGUAUGUGGUAUCCUACACUGCCCUGUCUGUAAAGGUAUGUGGUAUCCUACACUGCCCUGUCUGUAAAGAUAUGUGGUAUCCUAAACUGCCCUGUCUGUAAAGGUAUGUGGUAUCCUAAACUGCCCUGUCUGUAAAGGUAUGUGGUAUCCUAAACUGCCCUGUCUGUAAAGGGCCUUUGAAAAGCAGAGACCCUGAAGUGGUUCAAGAAGUGGAACAUGAGUGUUAUAUUCAGCCAUUGGCUGAAGAUGAACAUUCAGAGAAAUAUGUAUUUUAUGACUUUGAGAGUAAUCAACAGUCAGGGGUUCAUCUGCCUAUAUGUCACUUCUUUCCUAGAUAUUGGACGAAGGCGCAGCAGGUUGAGUGCUCAUAUUUACUUUUAUUGAACAGUAAAACAACAAAACGUACGAACGAACGAACAGGAUGCAGGCUAAACACAAAGCUAUGCAACUACAACUACCCCCAAAUACCCCAUACAAAACAACCCCUAUACAUAGGACCUUCAAUCAGAGGCAACGAGGAACAGCUGCCUCCAAUUGAAGGUCAAAUCAAUAAACUGAACAUAGACGUAAACAACCUAGAACUAACAUAGAAUGCACUAACCUAGAACCUAAACCUAAAACCCCGGUACACUCUAAACCAACACCCCUCUACAUAAACACAUAGCCCAACAAACCCCUAAACACUCUAAACAAAU